CUUUCAAGCUAUUUGUGGGCAAGAGUUGUUUCAACCUACAUAAAUGACUCAUUGAUAAAAAAGGUAAAAGCAAAGAAGAGAGGAGAAGCCUCUAUAAGAGUUUUUCGGGUUGCACUAUCCUAAUAUUAGUAAGUAAACAUUGGCUUAUGCAAUGCAUUUUGAGUUUUAUGCAAUGCAGUUUCCAUUUACUGUAAUGUAGAAACAGAAAUUGCAUUGCAGUUUCUGUUUUAUCCAAUGAAGUUUCCAGCCUAAUUUCUGACAUAUCUUGUUUUUGAACUGUGCAGUUUCUACUGUGUGAGAGGACAAACAUCAUACAACCAAUCCUUCGCAAGGAGAAAGAAAUUCCUACAAUUCUUAAAUGGAGUCUUGUGGAACUCCACACAAGAUUCAACCAAAUAG
Molecule: long non-coding RNA, 399 nt
Filed under: Prunus dulcis (almond)
Lineage: Eukaryota; Viridiplantae; Streptophyta; Magnoliopsida; Rosales; Rosaceae
Description: sRNA ncRNA
Source: RNAcentral